AAGCAAGGCUGACGGUGGAGACCUAGGCACUCAGAGACGAUGAAGGGCGUGGAUACCGGCGAAACGCUUCGGGGAGCUGGAAACAAGCUUUGAUCCGAAGAUUCCCCAAUAGGGCAACCUCUUGAACUUCCUCACCAAUUCAUAGUGAGGAAAGAGAAAACCUAACGAAUUGAAACAUCUUAGUAGUUAGAGGAACAGAAAGCAAACGCGAUUCCCUCAGUAGCGGCGAGCGAACCGGGAACAGCCUAAACCGACCCCUAGGGCCGGUGUCGUGGGAGGACUCGUUUUUUCCCUUUGUCCGAACUUGUGAGGAAAAAAACGAUAUUACUGUUUACCUGUCCCUGUCUUCUAAUUUUUUGCUUUGCAAAAAAUAAAUUUCAUCAAUGUCUAAAUAUUGGAAUUUGAAAGCAGGUAAACAGGGAACAGGACAAACAGAGUCGAGACGAAGCAGCUGAAUCCUGCACCAUAGAUGGUGAAAGUCCAGUAGUCAAAACUGAAGAGAAAUGUCUGAUCCCGAGUAGCAUGGGGCACGAGAAAUCCCGUGUGAAUCUGCGAGGACCACCUCGUAAGGCUAAAUACUCCUGAGUGACCGAUAGCGAAAAAGUACCGUGAGGGAACGGUGAAACAGAACCCCUGUAGGGGAGUGAAAUAGAACACGAAACCGUCAGCUGACAAGCAGUGGGAGGGUUGUGGAACCUGACCGCGUGCCUGUUGAAGAAUGAGCCGGCGACUUAUAGGGUGUGGCUGGGUUAAGGAGAGUACUCCGGAGCCUCAGCGAAAGCGAGUCUGAAUAGGGCAUUUCAGGUCAUUCCCUAUGGACCCGAACCCGGGUGAUCUUACCAUGGCCAAGAUGAAGCUUGGGUAACACCAAGUGGAGGUCUGAACCGACCGAUGUUGAAAAAUCGGCGGAUGAGUUGUGGUAAGCGGAGAAAUUCCAAUCGAACUCGGAGCUAGCUGGAUCUCCCCGAAAUGCGUUGAGGCGCAGCGGUGACGACGAGCUGACUUGGGGUAAAGCACUGUUUCGAUACGGGCUGCGAAAGCGGUACCAAGUCGUGGCAAACUCAGAAUACAGGUCAUUGCUUUCCGUCAACCAGUGAGACAGUGGGGGAUAAGCUUCAUUGUCAAGAGGGAAACAGCCCAGACCACCAGCUAAGGCCCCAAAAUGGCCGCUAAGUGGAAAAGGAUGUGAGAAUGCUAAAACAACUAGGAGGUUUGCUUAGAAGCAGCAAAGCCUUUGAAGAAAGCGUAAUAGCUCACUAGUUUAGCGUUCUUGCGCCGACAAUGGCCGGGACUAAGCGGCCUGCCGAAGCUGUGGGAUCAAAAAUCGGUAGGGGAGCGUUCUGCUUCGGGUGAAGCUUACACGAAAGUGAUGGUGGACGAAGCGGAAGUGAGAAUGUCGGCUUGAGUAACGAAAACAUUGGUGAGAAUCCAAUGCCCCGAUAACCUAAGGGUUCCUCCGCAAGGCUCGUCCACGGGGGGUAAGUCAGGACCUAAGGCCAGGCCUUUCGGCGUAGUCGAUGGAAAACAGGUUAAUAUUCCUGUACUGAUUCUUGUGGGUCACGGGGGACGAAGCAGGCUAAGCUGGAACUGUUCAUGGAUUGCAGUGGAAGCAUUCAAGGCGUUAACAGGUAGAACAAAAAUUACUCUGGAGCUGAGAUGUGAUCCUGUUCGACGUUUAUGACGAAGCAUCGAUCUCGAUGCUUAGUUAACUCGGACACCAGCUGACGUCAAACUUCCAAGAAAAGCCCGAAAACCCCUCAAUUUUGAGGUCAAACACACGAAUCACCUGUACCUGAAACCGACACAGGUAGGUGGGUAGAGAAUACCAAGGGGCGCGAGUGAACUCUCUCUAAGGAACUCGGCAAACUGGCCCCGUAACUUCGGAAGAAGGGGCGCCCUCGUAAGAGGGUCGCAGUGACCAGGCCCAGGCGACUGUUUACCAAAAACACAGGUCUCCGCAAAGUCGUAAGACAACAUAUGGGGGCUGACGCCUGCCCAGUGCUGGAAGGUGAAGGAAGUUGGUCAUUCCUUCGGGAAAAAGCUGACGACCGAAGCCCCAGUGAACGGCGGUCGUAACUAUAACGAUCCUAAGGUAGCGAAAUUCAUUGUCAGGUAAAUUCUGACCUGCACGAAAGGCGUAACGAUCUGGGCGCUGUCUCAGGGAGAGGCUCGGUGAAAUAGACUUGUCCGUGAAGAUGCGGACUACCUGCACAUGGACAGAAAGACCCUAUGAAGCUUGACUGUAUCCUGGAAUUGGGUUCGGGCUUUUCUUGCGCAGUCUAGGUGGGAGGCUUUGAAGGUUUCCUUCCGGGGAAGCUGGAGCCGUCAUUGAGAGACCACUCUGGAAAGGCUAGAGUCCUUAUGGCGAUCCUUGAAGCAGGACGCUUGACAGUUUCAGGUGGGCAGUUUGUUUGGGGCGAACGCCUUAAAAGGUAACUGAGGCGUGCAAAGGUUCUCUCAGUCUGGACGGAAAUCAGGCAUGGAGUGCAAAGGCAGAAGGGAGCUUGACUGCAAGACCCACAAGUCGAGCAGGGGCGAAAGCCGGCCUUAGUGAUCCGACGGUUCCGCGUGGAAGGGCCGUCGCUCAACGGAUAAAAGUUACUCUAGGGAUAACAGGCUAAUCUUUUCAGAGAGUCCAUAUCGACGAAAAGGUUUGGCACCUCCGAUGUCGGCUCAUCACAACCUGGAGCGGUAGUACGUUCCAAGGGUUGGGCUGUUCGCCCAUUAAAGUGGUACGUGAGCUGGGUUCAGAACGUCGUGAGACAGUUCGGUCCAUAUCCUGUGUAGGCGCUGGAGCAUUGAGGGGAGUCUUCAUUAGUACGAGAGGACCUUAAAGAACAUACCAAUGGUCUACCAGUUCUUCUUCCAAGGGGAAACGCUGGGUAGCUACGUAUGGAGCGGAUAAGUGAUGAAAGCAUAUAAUUACGAAGCCCACCCCAAGAUGAGUGCUCCCCAUUAGGCCGCGGCAAGACAAGCCGAAGAUAGGCAUUAGGUGUAAGCCUUGCAAGGGGUUCAGCCGAGAUGUACUAAAGGCCGAUUGAUUUUGACCUU
RNAcentral lists this ribosomal RNA (3051 nucleotides) under Trochiscia hystrix. RNAcentral's name for it is "large subunit ribosomal RNA". It matches the Rfam family "Bacterial large subunit ribosomal RNA". The record is from RNAcentral. Lineage: Eukaryota; Viridiplantae; Chlorophyta; Chlorophyceae.